CUCGCUGCUUACUUCGUCUCUCGCAAGUCUCUCCACCGCCGUCGACCUCUCUCAACAGGUAUACCUCUCUCUCUCUCUCUCACUCACACACACACACAUAUGUAUGUAUUUCUGUGCGGGUACAUGGACUUCUUUGGUUACAGUUUGUACGAUUGUAUUGUUAUAAUCAGAUUAAUUAAGUUAGGCUUUUAUUAGCAGUGAUGUUAAUUAUACCUAUGAUGAAUUAUUUGAUGGAGUCAUGGAGUGAAAGAAGAAAGUUAGUGGCAGACUGGAGAUUGCAAGAGUAUAUUAGGGAAUGCAAUUUUAAUAUGUUUAUGGAUAUCAAAAACAUGAACUAGUGUAUUCUAACUGUUAUUAUAGAGUUUGUUACAAAUAGAUUUUUCUGAGGUGCUGUUUGUUCAAUUGGUAUUCAUUGGUCAAGUCGCAUCCUUAAGUAUAAUAUGGUACUUGUUUUGGUCCAUUGCAUUUGCAACGCACCAUGUAAGAGGUGGGUUUUAGGGUGGCAGUUUUUGAGCUUGUGCUAAUGUCAGAGUAAAUGUGUUUAUUAAAUUAGGAUGUGCAUGUCAUUAACUUGUAGGCCGAUUGGAGAUAUAUGCAUAUAUUAUGAAGAUCGGUAGGGUCAAGUACCUAUUAUUCCCAUACUGCCUCCGUGCCUGAACACUCAAAUUUAUUAUUUAGAAUGAAUGUGUAAAUGAAUAGUUGUAUCAUGCAAUAGCAGUUAGGGUUGCAACUAUUGCAACAGAUGAUAGGUUAUUUAUUGCAAAACUUUUUGUUAGCUUGUUCAUGCAAAGUCCUUUAUAGUUUAUAUCCUACUUUGUUGUCGAAUAUACAACUUUAAUAUCAAUUUUGCACCAUUUAAUUUGUUUUGUUGCAUAAAAAGAUAAUCACUGAUAGUUAUAUGAUGGAGCUUUAUGUCUCUUUUCAUAAUAUAUUUUUUGGCAGUUGCAAACAUGAUUCACACAAGGUUGUCGUCAUCCCCAAGUUCGAAGUCCAAAUCCGAUUUGCCACCAAAGCAAAAGAUAGAUAAAAAAUCCAAGGCAACCUUGAUAAGGCUAGGCCAGUUAUCCAAAGUGAUCAGUUUUCCAUUGAUAAGGCUUCCCCGGGCUCAACGUCCGAUAUAGCUACGCCUUCAAAACGCAAGAUAACUCAAAAAACUAAAGCUGUUGUCAAGGAUAAGAUGUCCAAGUUAGCCAUUCACAAUGAUCCUAUUUUUUUUAAUGAGG
This 1223-nucleotide long non-coding RNA is filed under the name Daucus carota (carrot). RNAcentral describes it as "long non-coding RNA (DCAR_LNC000268)". The record is from RNAcentral. Lineage: Eukaryota; Viridiplantae; Streptophyta; Magnoliopsida; Apiales; Apiaceae.